GACGAACGCUGGCGGCGUGCUUAACACAUGCAAGUCGAACGAUGAACUUGGAGCUUGCUCUGGGGGAUUAGUGGCGAACGGGUGAGUAACACGUGAGUAACCUGCCCUGGACUCUGGGAUAACUUCGAGAAAUCGGAGCUAAUACCGGAUAGGACCUUGCACCGCAUGGUGUGGGGUGGAAAGUUUUUCGGUUUGGGAUGGACUCGCGGCCUAUCAGCUUGUUGGUGAGGUAAUGGCUCACCAAGGCGUCGACGGGUAGCCGGCCUGAGCGGGUGACCGGCCACACUGGGACUGAGACACGGCCCAGACUCCUACGGGAGGCAGCAGUGGGGAAUAUUGCACAAUGGGCGCAAGCCUGAUGCAGCAACGCCGCGUGCGGGAUGACGGCCUUCGGGUUGUAAACCGCUUUUAGUAGGGAAGAAGCCUUCGGGUGACGGUACCUGCAGAAAAAGGACCGGCUAACUACGUGCCAGCAGCCGCCGUAA
This 485-nucleotide ribosomal RNA is filed under the name uncultured bacterium. RNAcentral's name for it is "partial 16S ribosomal RNA". It matches the Rfam family "Bacterial small subunit ribosomal RNA", at positions 28 to 523 of the family's 1533-position model. The record is from RNAcentral.